This 577-nucleotide ribosomal RNA is filed under the name uncultured bacterium. RNAcentral describes it as "bacterial SSU rRNA". It matches the Rfam family "Bacterial small subunit ribosomal RNA", at positions 338 to 916 of the family's 1533-position model. The record is from RNAcentral.
CCUACGGGAGGCAGCAGGGAGGAAUAUUGCGCAAUGGAGGAAACUCUGACGCAGCCAUGCCGCGUGCAGGAAGACUGCCCUAUGGGUUGUAAACUGCUUUUAUAUAGGAAGAACUACAGCUACGUGUAGCUGUUUGACGGUACUAUACGAAUAAGGACCGGCUAACUCCGUGCCAGCAGCCGCGGUAAUACGGAGGGUCCAAGCGUUAUCCGGAUUUAUUGGGUUUAAAGGGUCCGUAGGCGGGUUAUUAAGUCAGUGGUGAAAUCCUACAGCUCAACUGUAGAACUGCCAUUGAAACUGUUAACCUUGAGUAUAAUUGAAGUGGGCGGAAUGUGUCAUGUAGCGGUGAAAUGCUUAGAUAUGACACAGAACACCGAUUGCGAAGGCAGCUCACUAAGUUAUAACUGACGCUGAGGGACGAAAGCGUGGGUAGCGAACAGGAUUAGAUACCCUGGUAGUCCACGCCGUAAACGAUGUACACUCGUUGCUGGCGAUACACAGUCAGUGACCAAGCGAAAGUGUUAAGUGUACCACCUGGGGAGUACGCUCGCAAGAGUGAAACUCAAAGGAAUGACGG